Molecule: microRNA, 22 nt
Filed under: Homo sapiens (human)
Lineage: Eukaryota; Metazoa; Chordata; Mammalia; Primates; Hominidae
Description: hsa-miR-6893-3p
Source: miRBase by way of RNAcentral
CCCUGCUGCCUUCACCUGCCAG